Molecule: ribosomal RNA, 253 nt
Filed under: uncultured bacterium
Lineage: Bacteria
Description: partial 16S ribosomal RNA
Rfam family: Bacterial small subunit ribosomal RNA
Source: RNAcentral
UACGUAGGGGGCAAGCGUUGUCCGGAUUUAUUGGGCGUAAAGAGCGUGUAGGCGGCCAGACAGGUCCGUUGUGAAAACUCGAGGCUCAACCUCGAGAUGUCGAUGGAAACCGUCUGGCUAGAGUCCGGAAGAGGAGUGUGGAAUUCCUGGUGUAGCGGUGAAAUGCGCAGAUAUCUGGAGGAACACCGGUGGCGAAGGCGGCAUCCUGGACCAAUUCUGACGCUGAGGAGCGAAAGCCAGGGGAGCAAACGGG